GACGAACGCUGGCGGCGUGCCUAAUACAUGCAAGUCGAACGCACAGUUUAUACCGUAGCUUGCUACACCAUAGACUGUGAGUUGCGAACGGGUGAGUAACGCGUAGGUAACCUGCCUGGUAGCGGGGGAUAACUAUUGGAAACGAUAGCUAAUACCGCAUAAUAUUAAUUAUUGCAUGAUAAUUAAUUGAAAGGUGCAAUUGCACCACUACCAGAUGGACCUGCGUUGUAUUAGCUAGUAGGUGAGGUAACGGCUCACCUAGGCGACGAUACAUAGCCGACCUGGGAGGGUGAUCGGCCACACUGGGACUGAGACACGGCCCAGACUCCUACGGGAGGCAGCAGUAGGGAAUCUUCGGCAAUGGACGAAAGUCUGACCGAGCAACGCCGCGGGAGUGAAGAAGGUUUUCGGAUCGUAAAGCUCUGUUGUAAGAGAAGAACGGGUGUGAGAGUGGAAAGUUCACACUGUGACGGUAUCUUACCAGAAAGGGACGGCUAACUACGUG
This 505-nucleotide ribosomal RNA is filed under the name uncultured bacterium. RNAcentral's name for it is "partial 16S ribosomal RNA". It matches the Rfam family "Bacterial small subunit ribosomal RNA", at positions 28 to 507 of the family's 1533-position model. The record is from RNAcentral.